AGAGUUUGAUCCUGGCUCAGGAUGAACGCUGGCGGCGUGCCUAAUACAUGCAAGUCGAACGGGAAGCAGCAAUGUUUCUAGUGGCGACCGGGUGCGUAACACGUAGCUGACCUGCCCUAACGCGGGGGACAACCGAGCGAAAGCACGGCUAAUACCGCAUGGACUCUGGUGGAUUAGCAGCACCAGAGGAAACUCACGGGGCGUUAGGAGGGGGCUGCGGCCCAUCAGGUAGUUGGUAGGGUAACGGCCUACCAAGCCGACGACGGGUAGGGGGCCUGAGAGGGUGGUCCCCCACACUGGGACUGACACACGGCCCAGACUCCUACGGGAGGCAGCAGUAAGGGAUAUUGCGCAAUGGGCGAAAGCCUGACGCAGCAACGCCGCGUGGAGGAUGACGGCCUUCGGGUUGUAAACCUCUGUCACUGGGGAAGAAACGCUUUGAGUUAAUAGUUCAAAGCCUGACUUAACCCGGAGAGGAAGCAGUGGCUAACUCUGUGCCAGCAGCCGCGGUAAUACAGAGACUGCGAGCGUUAUUCGGAUUCACUGGGCGUAAAGGGUGCGCAGGCGGCCGAGUGUGUGAGUGCGU
Molecule: ribosomal RNA, 586 nt
Filed under: uncultured Chloroflexota bacterium
Lineage: Bacteria; Bacillati; Chloroflexota
Description: bacterial SSU rRNA
Rfam family: Bacterial small subunit ribosomal RNA
Source: RNAcentral